This 2346-nucleotide long non-coding RNA is filed under the name Homo sapiens (human). RNAcentral's name for it is "HSALNT0250154". Lineage: Eukaryota; Metazoa; Chordata; Mammalia; Primates; Hominidae. The record is from RNAcentral.
CUGAAGUAGGAAAACCUGAAUUAUAAUUAAUGAAUUGCUAGAGGCUCAGUGUGGACAAGCCUGAGAGGUAAAAAGUUCACGAGGAUCCAGUCCUAGAGGGAUUGAGUUCUGGGGGGUAGGAUCCAGUCCUAGAUCCUGCAUGCUUUUGUGAGAUUUCCCUCCAGGAGCCUUACCAGGUUCUCAGUGAAUAUCAGAAGAAAAUCUCCACAGGCUUCCGGCAAGUCUUUGUUAUAGAAGCUGGAAUGAAUCAAGACACACUGCAACAAAAAUGAAGAAUAUUUCUGGUGGGCUUAUUAGUAGCCUGGACACAAUUGAGGAAAGAAUCUCUGCACUUGAAACUAUGAAAAAAGAUACUUCCAAAAUUGAAAAGCAAAAAGAAAAAAGGUAUACACAUACUGGGAGUGCCAGAGGACAGUAAUAGGAGAAGAAAGGAACAGAAGCAAUAUUGGAAGCAAUAAUGCCAGAGAAUGUCCUCCAAGUUCAUGUGAGAUACCAAACCACAGAUCCAAGAAGUUUGGAGAACAUCGAGCAGGAUGAUUUUCAGAAAGACUACACCUAGGUAUAUUAUUUUCAAGAUUAGAAAAUUAAAUGUACAGAAAAAAUACAUUGAAAGAAGCUAGAGGAGAAAGAAAAGAAAACUUACCUAUAGAGGAGCAAAAAUAGAAAUGACAUUCAACUUCUCAAACACCACACAGAUUUACAGACAAAGAAUAGAAGUCUUAAUAGCUCAAUGUGUUUGAACACAGCCUCACAUCAAUAAUUGGCUGGCCACUAAUCUGUGCUGACUCAUGCAUUACACCUAGCAAUCCAGACUUAAAAGUGAAAAUGAAAAAAAACAAUAGAUGCACUGUUGGCUGUAGGCUCUGGGAUAAGUAGACUUCACAGAAUUAAUCCAGGCAAACCAUUAAACAAAAAAGCAGAAAUAAUAAUAAUCCUGAAGAGAUGAAACAGAAUCUGAAACUGUUAUAUAAAAUGUCUACUUUUCAUUGAAAGUAUUCUAAGAUAUGCAAAGAAACUGAAAGGGUGAUGCAUACAAGAAAAAGUCAAUAGAAAAUGAUUCUAAAGGACUCAGAUAUUGAACUUAAAGACAAAGAUCUCAAAGCAACUAUUAUAAAUAUGACCAAAGAAUUAUUGGGAACCACAUUUAAAUAAAGAGAAGUGUGAUGACAAUGACUUGCCAAACAGAAAACACUAAUAAAAGAAUAGAAGUCCAAAAAUAACUGAAUAUGAAAUCUCUAAUUGAAAAAUAUAAUUACUAAAAUUAAAAAUCACUACAGGAUAACAUCAGAUUCAAUAUGCAAAAAAAACCUCAAUGUAGUUGAAGAUAAAUCAAUAUAAUAGAACAUAGAGAAAAAUUAUUAAAGAAAAAUAGAGACUUGAGUACGUGUGUGAUAUCAUCAAAUGUACUAACAUAAGCAUAAUGGGAGUUCCAGAACAAAAAGAAGAUAGAGGCGAAUAAUUAGAAUAAAUAUUUGGAGAAAUAAUAGCUGAAAACUUCCCAGACUUGAUGAAAACAUUAAUCUACAUAGCCAAGAAGCUCAACAAAUUCUCAGUAUGAAAAAUACAAAGAUAUUCACACCUAGCUAGAUAUAUGAUAAACUGCUGAAAACUAAAGACAAACAGAAAUAAAACUUUGAAAAUAGCCAAAUAAUAUAAUUAAUCACAAAAGUGUAACCACAAUUAUAUUGACAGCUGACUUCUCAUCAGAAACAAUAGUGGACAGAAGGCUGUAUGAUGGCACAAAGUGUUGAAAGAAAAAGAAAAACAAAAACUCUCAACCAUGAUUUUUACAUUUAGCAAAAUUAUUCUUCAAAACUGAAAGUGAAGAAAUUAUCAUACAAACAAGCAUGGGAAGAAUUUAUCGUUGGUAAACUUGCUUAUAGAAAUACUAAAGGGUGUACCAGAGAAAAAAGUAAAAUGAAACUAGAUGGUAAUGAAAAUCCACACAACGAAAUAAAGACCUAGUAAAGGUAACUAUGUAGGUAAAUGUAGAAAACCGUAAAAAAUAUAUUUUUCAGUUUUUUACUCUUAAAAUUUAAAAGAAAUGCAAAAAACAAUAAGUAUAAAUUUGAAUUUUAGCACCUAUAAAGAUGAAAUAUAUAUAAUAAUGAUACACAUAGACAGCUAUAUUAAAAAAAUCUCUAUAUUUUUCUGGUAUUAAGAAAGUAUUCAUUUGUGAUAGAUUAUGGUAAAAUAAAAUGCAUAUUUAAUCUUUAGAGCAAGCAAUAUAAAAAUUACUCAAAAAGUAGUUUUAAAAAACCCAAAGAAGGCUGGGCAUGGUAGCUCAUGCCUGUAACACCAGCACUUCGGGAUGCUGAGGCAGGAGGGUCACUUGACCCCAGGAGU